UUUUUUCAAAAUGGCGUCGACUGCAGCUCAGCUGCCAGCCGAGCUCAGCUGUAAAGUUUCAUUCGUUUUUUUCUGUUUUCUUCCGUAAUCUGUAAUCAUGUAAUUGUAAUCGGACGAUUUUCUCGGAAUUCUCGAGUGAUAUUGAAAUGGUGCUUGCAACGAGACAUUUGGAGCUUAGUCUUAUCAUUUUGUUAUUUUUUAAAGUUUUUUUUUGUAAACUUGUUUGAUUUGGAUUAUUAAAAGGAUCUUUUAGCGAAAGGAACAAGUGGACUUCAGAACAAAAAAGGACAGCCAAGGGGAGGAAGAAAACAACUUAGUCUCUUCUCAUCAUUCCAAUCCGGUAAUUCUCAAAGGCAAG
Long non-coding RNA from Leptopilina heterotoma, 358 nucleotides. RefSeq lists it as uncharacterized. The record is from RefSeq and is a predicted model, not a curated record. NCBI's taxonomy places the organism in Eukaryota, Metazoa, Arthropoda, Insecta, Hymenoptera, Figitidae. The transcript has 3 exons.